This is a long non-coding RNA of Hippocampus comes (tiger tail seahorse), 358 nucleotides long. RefSeq lists it as uncharacterized. The transcript is spliced from 3 exons. The record is from RefSeq and is a predicted model, not a curated record. Lineage: Eukaryota; Metazoa; Chordata; Actinopteri; Syngnathiformes; Syngnathidae.
UUCGGCGACGCACCUGUCGGGAAUCGCAAUCACUGGCUUUUUAGGUGCAACUGCAGCAGCGUGCUCGUGUUGGACUAUUCACUUGCAGACCUCCGUGCACUUAGUAGAAGUUCUCUCUCUCUCCUCUUUUUUCCUGUAUUUCCCUCCUCGACGAUUGACUGAUUGACUUUUUGCACUUGUCUCCAGUUAUCGGUAUGGAAUUCAUCUUGAGAAUGUUUUUGUGGAUCCACAUACAGGCGUUGCCAUUUAUGACAACUACAAUGUGUGCCUGAGAGACAAAAAUGCAGACAUCAAGACCUGCAGGGGGGCAACAACCAAAGGUGCCUGCAAAGCAUCACCAGACAGAAAACUCCCGUGC